Molecule: ribosomal RNA, 217 nt
Filed under: Thermoactinomyces vulgaris
Lineage: Bacteria; Bacillati; Bacillota; Bacilli; Caryophanales; Thermoactinomycetaceae
Description: partial 16S ribosomal RNA
Rfam family: Bacterial small subunit ribosomal RNA
Source: RNAcentral
CAUUCACGGAGAGUUUGAUCCUGGCUCAGGACGAACGCUGGCGGCGUGCUUAACACAUGCAAGUCGAACGAUGAACCGCUUUCGGGCGGGGAUUAGUGGCGAACGGGUGAGUAACACGUGGGCAAUCUGCCCUGCACUCUGGGACAAGCCCUGGAAACGGGGUCUAAUACCGGAUAUGACUGUCCAUCGCAUGGUGGAUGGUGUAAAGCUCCGGCGG